UACGGAGGCCCCAAGCGUUGUUCGGAUUUAUUGGGCGUAAAGGGUGCGUAGGCGGCAUUGUAAGUCUGGUGUGAAAGGCCGUGGGCUCAACCUGCGGACUGGCAUUGGAUACUGCGAUGCUAGAGGACUGGAGAGGAGAAUGGAAUUCACGGUGGAGCAGUGAAAUGCGUAGAUAUCGUGAGGAAGGCCAGUGGCGAAGGCGGAUUC
This 207-nucleotide ribosomal RNA is filed under the name uncultured bacterium. Its description in RNAcentral is "partial 16S ribosomal RNA". It matches the Rfam family "Bacterial small subunit ribosomal RNA", at positions 524 to 727 of the family's 1533-position model. The record is from RNAcentral.